GACGAACGCUGGCGGCGUGCCUAACACAUGCAAGUCGAGCGAACAGAUCAGGAGCUUGCUCCGUUGACGUUAGCGGCGGACGGGUGAGUAACAUGUGGAUAACCCACCUAUAAGACUGGGAUAACUUCGGGAAACCGGAGCUAAUACCGGAUAACAUAUUGAACCGCUGGGUUCAAUAGUGAAAGGCGGCUUUGCUGUCACUCAUAGAUGGAUCCGCGCCGUAUUAGCUAGUUGGUAAGGUAACGGCUUACCAGGGCAACGAUACGUAGCCGACCUGAAAGGGGGGUCGGCCACACUGGAGGUGAGACACGGCCCAGACACCUGCGGGAGGCAGCAGUAGGGAAUGUUCCGCGAUGGGGGAAAGCCUGACGGAGGACCGCCGCGUGAAUGAUGAAGGUCUUCGGAUCGGAAAACUCUGUUAGCAGGGAAGAACAAAUGUGUAAGGGACUGUGCAGAUCUUGACGGUACCGGAUCAAAAAGCAACGGCUAACUACGUG
RNAcentral lists this ribosomal RNA (497 nucleotides) under uncultured bacterium. Its description in RNAcentral is "partial 16S ribosomal RNA". It matches the Rfam family "Bacterial small subunit ribosomal RNA", at positions 28 to 507 of the family's 1533-position model. The record is from RNAcentral.